Molecule: unclassified non-coding RNA, 272 nt
Filed under: Hevea brasiliensis (rubber tree)
Lineage: Eukaryota; Viridiplantae; Streptophyta; Magnoliopsida; Malpighiales; Euphorbiaceae
Source: RNAcentral
CUAAACCAAGAAUCCCUCCAGCAGCACUCUGGAUUAAAUGGAAAGAUUGGCAUCAAUAUCAGCUCAACCAGAAAAUAGAAAAGAAGAAUUGAGAUCAGUAACUUCGAAUGUAAGCUCACAUGCAAACGGAUGACAAGGGAAAAGCCAUAUCAUUGAGGUGGCAAACAGCUCGGUCUCUCUCUCUCUCUCUCUCUCUCUCUCUCUACACACACACACACACACACAUGUGGGAUCUUAUCUUACCAUUGCAGGAUUGUGGCCAAACAAUGCCC